GAUGAACGCUGGCGGCGUGCCUAAUACAUGCAAGUCGAGCGAACGGACGGGAAGCUUGCUUCUCUGAUGUUAGCGGCGGACGGGUGAGUAACACGUGGAUAACCUACCUAUAAGACUGGGAUAACUUCGGGAAACCGGAGCUAAUACCGGAUGAUAUUUUGAACCGCAUGGUUCAAAAGUGAAAGACGGUCUUGCUGUCACUUAUAGAUGGAUCCGCGCUGCAUUAGCUAGUUGGUAAGGUAACGGCUUACCAAGGCAACGAUGCAUAGCCGACCUGAGAGGGUGAUCGGCCACACUGGAACUGAGACACGGUCCAGACUCCUACGGGAGGCAGCAGUAGGGAAUCUUCCGCAAUGGGCGAAAGCCUGACGGAGCAACGCCGCGUGAGUGAUGAAGGUCUUCGGAUCGUAAAACUCUGUUAUUAGGGAAGAACAUAUGUGUAAGUAACUGUGCACAUCUUGACGGUACCUGAUCAGAAAGCCACGGCUAACUACGUG
RNAcentral lists this ribosomal RNA (497 nucleotides) under uncultured bacterium. Its description in RNAcentral is "partial 16S ribosomal RNA". It matches the Rfam family "Bacterial small subunit ribosomal RNA", at positions 28 to 507 of the family's 1533-position model. The record is from RNAcentral.